RNAcentral lists this ribosomal RNA (374 nucleotides) under uncultured bacterium. RNAcentral describes it as "bacterial SSU rRNA". It matches the Rfam family "Bacterial small subunit ribosomal RNA", at positions 524 to 898 of the family's 1533-position model. The record is from RNAcentral.
UACGUAGGGUGCGAGCGUUAAUCGGAAUUACUGGGCGUAAAGCGUGCGCAGGCGGCUUUGUAAGACAGAUGUGAAAUCCCCGGGCUCAACCUGGGAACUGCAUUUGUGACUGCAAGGCUAGAGUGCGUCAGAGGGAGGUGGAAUUCCGCGUGUAGCAGUGAAAUGCGUAGAGAUGCGGAGGAACACCGAUGGCGAAGGCAGCCUCCUGGGAUGACACUGACGCUCAUGCACGAAAGCGUGGGGAGCAAACAGGAUUAGAUACCCUGGUAGUCCACGCCCUAAACGAUGUCAACUAGUUGUCGGGGAUUCAUUUCCUUGGUAACGCAGCUAACGCGUGAAGUUGACCGCCUGGGGAGUACGGCCGCAAGGUUAAA